CAAAAUCUCUCCGACAGAAUGAUCUGCUUUUAGACGCUUUUUUUUGUCUGAUUAUAAGAUGUAACAUACACAACAAGCUGUUUACAGACAGAAACACCAUCAUAUAAAGCACAUAAAUUUAGAAUAAAAUAAAAUGCUUUUAAUAUACAAUAUACAAAACAACUUCUAGUUCAGUGAUCAUUGAAAAAUUUUGGAAUAAAUAGUAUCUGGUUUUGUUUUAAUUAUUUGUUUAAUAUCUCUGGUCCAGCAAAUGGUACAAUAACACAUGUGAAAUUAAAUCAAAGCUUAAAGUUGUGUGAAUAAAUAAAUAAAUCCAUUGUCAAAAAAUAGUUUUAAAAGAGGAAAGCACCAAAGUGAAAAAAAAGAAAGAAAAAAAAAGUGGUGUGAUAUUUGUGGGCGUGGGUUGUUCAUCCGUCUUGCCAGCGCUAUGUGAGUUGGGGGAUUCGCGUUGAUGAUAGAUAAGAAGAUCAGAGUUUGUUCGGUUAGGUUUUACAGCAACAUCAAGUUGUUUUACAAUAUGAUGCUCUUCGCUGUAGUAACGUGUUGGAUUGGCAUUACUGCUGGUGCUGCGGUGGAGUCGCUAACGGUGUCUGAGGGGGGAAACCUGACCAUCUCUAUUCACAUUGAGAAGUGGGACAGAGACCCUCAGGUUUUGGUGACCCUUCUCAAAGGCUCCUCGCAGGAACCGAUAGCUCAGGUGAUUUGUCAUAACGGAGCCUGUGAACAAAAGAGCUGGAGAUCUGGAGUUUCUCUCAUAUCUGUUGGACAAAAUAUGACUCUGAUCCUGAUGAACAUCAGCUACAAUCAAACAGGACUUUACAAGAUCUACAAACUGAGCAGCAAACUGCCCGAAAACAAGAUUUACAACGUUGCCGUGUAUCGGGUUUUCAAUCUCUUAGAUGCCAAGGAACCUCAAAUAUAA
Molecule: long non-coding RNA, 922 nt
Organism: Cyprinus carpio (common carp)
Lineage: Eukaryota; Metazoa; Chordata; Actinopteri; Cypriniformes; Cyprinidae
Source: Ensembl